Molecule: ribosomal RNA, 449 nt
Filed under: uncultured bacterium
Lineage: Bacteria
Description: bacterial SSU rRNA
Rfam family: Bacterial small subunit ribosomal RNA
Source: RNAcentral
GCUCCAGACUCCUACGGGAGGCAGCAGUGGGGAAUAUUGGGCAAUGGAGGAAACUCUUACCCAGCAAUGCCGCGUGAGUGAAGAAGGUCUUCGGAUUGUAAAGCUCUUUGAUUGGGGAUGAAUAAAUGACGGUACCCAAAGAACAAGCCCCGGCUAACUACGUGCCAGCAGCCGCGGUAAUACGUAGGGGGCAAGCGUUAUCCGGAAUUAUUGGGCGUAAAGAGUACGUAGGUGGUUUUGUAAGCGCGGGGUGAAAGGCAGUGGCUUAACCAUUGUAAGCCUUGCGAACUGCAAGACUUGAGUGCAGGAGAGGAAAGCGGAAUUCCUAGUGUAGCGGUGAAAUGCUUAGAUAUUAGGAGGAACACCAGUGGCGAAGGCGGCUUUCUGGACUGUAGCUGACACUGAGGUACGAAAGCGUGGGGAGCAAACAGGAUUAGAUACCCCAGUAC